UACUGAGUCAUUGCUUUGUCACCGCCCCUCCCCGCGUGAUGAAGAGCAGGCAGAGCGUGAUCAGAAAGGUCAGGCCAAUGAGAAGUCGCGGAGGGCCGCGGGGGCGCACGUGCUUAGACAGCUGAUUGGACAAGGGAAGGCACCGGUAUGAUGAAGGACCAAUGGCAAGAUGGUGCGCCCAUGUGGACAGGCUUUGGAGAAACAAUAUUGUAAGGAUGUGGAGCGAGUGAAGUCUUUAGCGCCGACUGUGUCACGAGUUUCCAUGAUCUCAUCUCAUCUUGACUAGAUUAUAGUGUUCAUUUCUAGUCACUGUGGUUAAAGAAGAACACUGAUAAGCUGGAAUGUGUCCAGGGAAGGACAGCCAUGAUAGUAAAGGCCUGGAGUCCAUGACAAAUAAAAAUCAGUUGAAGGAGCUGGAUAUGUUUAAUUGGAAGCAAAGAAAACACAGGGCCUUUUGAUAACUUCUAAGAUGACAAUUAAGACCUAGAAGAGUAAACCAAUUGGCUCAACCAACAGUGAAAGCGCCUUGUUGAUUGGGGGAAGACUGGAGGAGCAGAAGUGGUUGACCAAAAAAGCUAACCAUACCUCUGGAGGACUUAAAAAGCUAAAGGAAUAUCAGAAGUAAGUUAGUUAGUAGUGGAAGAAUUCCAUUUUAGAGUUUGAUAAUUUCAGAGUUGGAAUCAGAAGUAGAGGAAAACUAGUAUUCUGAUAGUGAAUCACACUUGAAGGGGAAAAGAGACAUUUAGACUUUUUCUGCUCUUUCUGCCCUCUAUACACCCCAGAUGACCCUGUUAUUAGAAACACUGCAUCAGAGAGACAUGACUAGGACACAUAUAUAGGAAAAGUUACUCAUAUUAGGAAAGAAGUGACUUCAAAAAGUGUGACCUCUUGUAUCAGAUUGAAAUGAUAGCUUUGGACCUUCCAAAAGGACAUCUAGUACCAGGAAUUGUGAAUUACCUCUUUGACACAUAUAGUCUUUCUAUAUGUGUCAGUGGACACUAUUUUAUCUAAGUUUGAACCCUCUCUUUCUGUAGACCUGUUUGUAUUUUCAGGAAAGUAAGCCUUGGCUUAAUUUUUUUGUGGAGGGAAGAGAGAAGAAUGUUACAUUAACUUGUCAUUCAUUCAAAAACAUCUUAAUAAAUACCUUUGUUAAAACCAAUUAAGUUUUUUUAAUCAUUUUUAAAAUAGAAAGAUCAUUGAUGAAGGCUUGUGGGCAAGUGUUAGAAUAUUAGCUCCACAGAUUUGCUCUUAUAAUCUAAAAUAGCAGCUACAUUCUGAGCAUACAACAUGUAAAUGCCAGGACAUAUUGGGAGAGUAGUUGUUGACUUAGAAUAAUCAUUAAAAGUCAGAUUUGUGUAUUUUAUGUAUCACUCUAUUCCUUGUAGGUAUAAACUGCCAGUUAUAGUUGUUUUCUUUCCUAUAGAACCAAGUUUCAUGUAUUACACUGUAAUUGCCAUAAGAAGGAGAUCAAAAUAGCCUACAAAGGGCUUUAGCCCUAAACAAAUAACCUUGCCAACC
Sarcophilus harrisii (Tasmanian devil) is the source of this 1518-nucleotide long non-coding RNA. RefSeq lists it as uncharacterized. The record is from RefSeq and is a predicted model, not a curated record. Lineage: Eukaryota; Metazoa; Chordata; Mammalia; Dasyuromorphia; Dasyuridae. The transcript has 4 exons.